GAGGAAUAAAAAAUAGAAAAAACUGCUAUUUCUUGAGCAUAAAAGUGGUUUUUUAAAGCAAUUUUCGCAUGAAUAUAUUUGUUACAUCAUCACAAUACCCUCUUUCGGUUGUUGGACAAAUUCAUCAGGAGCUAGCACAGGAUGCAUCAAGGUAACAAUGAAAUGAACAAUUAGCAAAGUUCAGUUUCAGGAUGGCGGUUUUGCAUCCAACUGCAAAGCACAGACCAAAACAUGGCAUGGUUGGAGAUGCUUUUUUCCCCAGAGAAUUCAUGACCACAAUUCCCCUCCCCCUUUUGUCCAACUCUCUCUCACCCUUCCCCUUCCCAUUUCUCUUCCCAUCUUUAACAAUGAUGGUCUCCUAUGACCCUUGCCUAGUGCCUCAGCUGCCUUUAGCCACCAGACCAUCCAUCCAUUACUAAUCUCCAGUUAAUUGUCCAUGUAUCGUGCAUGUUGCUUUGCUUGCUAAAGCAAUAAUCAAAAUGUUAUAUCAUUUACACAUAAAGAAAGAAUGAUGCUGUGCUCAAGGACCUCAAGAUCAUCUUAUAUAACUAAGAGAAGAAUGGCUGCUAAAAUGGCCUUAGCUGACUGUAUAUGUACAUGAGAUCCCACCUUCAUCCCACAUAACAAGUGGGAGAAUGAUGUGAUUGUAUAUAGAGCUAGAUGGAUCAACUACCAUUAACUUGGCUUAAACUUAUUGAUAAUAAGUUAAUGAGUUAGUUCUCUCUUUGGAUUGUCAUGAAAACAUGAGAGGAACCAAAAGGAAUAAAAAAACUCACCUACUAAAGAAAAUACUUGAUUGAUACAACAAAAUGUUGUCACUCAUCGAUGAACAAGUAUGUAUGUGAGCUGAUCAAAAGGUGUACAAGAGUGACUAUGAGAGACAAGUGGGUGGCGAAAAAUGAUGCUGAUUGAAGAAUGCUUGGAAACCCAAUAAACUUCUGAAGAUCAAGAACACAUGGAUUAGGGAAGAAUCCUCCCUCUUCAAAGAUGAUAACCUAUGCCAAUGCACCCAUUCCUUCUCCAACACAUGGAUUGGGGAAAUUUUCUCACUUUUUGAAGAUGAUUACCUAUUUCAAUGCCCUAAGUCACUCUAAUCCAUUAAUUGUCAUUACUACUCUAGUUAGAAACAACUUUAACCUCGUCUAAUCCAUUAAAGAAGAAGAAAAUUGGGAAAAUUAUU
This 1180-nucleotide long non-coding RNA is filed under the name Musa acuminata (dwarf banana). RNAcentral's name for it is "long non-coding RNA (MACU_LNC004287)". Lineage: Eukaryota; Viridiplantae; Streptophyta; Magnoliopsida; Zingiberales; Musaceae. The record is from RNAcentral.